RNAcentral lists this unclassified non-coding RNA (223 nucleotides) under plant metagenome. Its description in RNAcentral is "partial contains small subunit ribosomal RNA, internal transcribed spacer 1, and 5.8S ribosomal RNA". The record is from RNAcentral.
UUUCCGUAGGUGAACCUGCGGAAGGAUCAUUAUCAUGUAAUUCAGUCCCCUUGGCUGUGUUAUAUAUAUACCCACUCUGUGUACCUUCUCCUGUUGCUUCCGCUGGGUGUGUAAUUCGCCCGGCGGAAGGGUAAAAAUAACCUCUGAGUAUUGAUGAAAUCCCUGUCUGAACCGAAUAGAAAGAAAAAUGUUAAAACUUUCAGCAACGGAUCUCUUGGUUCUC